GAUGAACGCUGGCGGCGUGCCUAAUACAUGCAAGUCGAGCGAACAGACGAGGAGCUUGCUCCUUUGAUGUUAGCGGCGGACGGGUGAGUAACACGUAGGUAACCUACCUAUAAGACUGGGAUAACUUCGGGAAACCGGAGCUAAUACCGGAUAAUAUUUCGAACCGCAUGGUUCGAUAGUGAAAGAUGGCUUUGCUAUCACUUAUAGAUAGACCUGCGCCGUAUUAGCUAGUUGGUAAGGUAACGGCUUACCAAGGCAACGAUACGUAGCCGACCUGAGAGGGUGAUCGGCCACACUGGAACUGAGACACGGUCCAGACUCCUACGGGAGGCAGCAGUAGGGAAUCUUCCGCAAUGGGCGAAAGCCUGACGGAGCAACGCCGCGUGAGUGAUGAAGGUCUUCGGAUCGUAAAACUCUGUUAUUAGGGAAGAACAAACGUGUAAGUAACUGUGCACGUCUUGACGGUACCUAAUCAGAAAGCCACGGCUAACUACGUG
RNAcentral lists this ribosomal RNA (497 nucleotides) under uncultured bacterium. RNAcentral's name for it is "partial 16S ribosomal RNA". It matches the Rfam family "Bacterial small subunit ribosomal RNA", at positions 28 to 507 of the family's 1533-position model. The record is from RNAcentral.